GACCGUCAAGUGGUUGUUGAG
This 21-nucleotide microRNA is filed under the name Brachypodium distachyon (stiff brome). Its description in RNAcentral is "bdi-miR9498". Lineage: Eukaryota; Viridiplantae; Streptophyta; Magnoliopsida; Poales; Poaceae. The record is from miRBase by way of RNAcentral.